GUCCCAGUAGCAUAGUGUUUAGUGCACAGCCUUGGACAGGUUGAGACGCAGGUUCGAAUCCCGCCUGAGAUG
Nippostrongylus brasiliensis is the source of this 72-nucleotide non-coding RNA. The record is from Rfam. Lineage: Eukaryota; Metazoa; Nematoda; Chromadorea; Rhabditida; Heligmosomidae.